This 658-nucleotide ribosomal RNA is filed under the name uncultured bacterium. RNAcentral describes it as "bacterial SSU rRNA". It matches the Rfam family "Bacterial small subunit ribosomal RNA", at positions 187 to 848 of the family's 1533-position model. The record is from RNAcentral.
GCAUGUUCACAUGAUUAAAGGUAUUCCGGUAGACGAUGGGGAUGCGUUCCAUUAGAUAGUAGGCGGGGUAACGGCCCACCUAGUCUUCGAUGGAUAGGGGUUCUGAGAGGAAGGUCCCCCACAUUGGAACUGAGACACGGUCCAAACUCCUACGGGAGGCAGCAGUGAGGAAUAUUGGUCAAUGGGCGAGAGCCUGAACCAGCCAAGUAGCGUGAAGGAUGACUGCCCUAUGGGUUGUAAACUUCUUUUAUAAAGGAAUAAAGUCGGGUAUGCAUACCUGUUUGCAUGUACUUUAUGAAUAAGGAUCGGCUAACUCCGUGCCAGCAGCCGCGGUAAUACGGAGGAUCCGAGCGUUAUCCGGAUUUAUUGGGUUUAAAGGGAGCGUAGAUGGAUGUUUAAGUCAGUUGUGAAAGUUUGCGGCUCAACCGUAAAAUUGCAGUUGAUACUGGAUAUCUUGAGUGCAGUUGAGGCAGGCGGAAUUCGUGGUGUAGCGGUGAAAUGCUUAGAUAUCACGAAGAACUCCGAUUGCGAAGGCAGCCUGCUAAGCUGCAACUGACAUUGAGGCUCGAAAGUGUGGGUAUCAAACAGGAUUAGAUACCCUGGUAGCCCACACGGUAAACGAUGAAUACUCGCUGUUUGCGAUAUACAGCAAGCGGCC